GACAGAGGCCACGAACGUUGUUCGGAAUCACUGGGCAUAAAGCGCACGUAGGCGGCUGGGUCCGUCGGAUGUGAAAGCCCCCGGCUCAACCGGGGAAUUGCAUCCGAUACAGCCCGGCUUGAGGACGGUUGGGGUGAGUGGAACUCCUGGUGGAGCGGUGAAAUGCGUAGAUAUCAGGAGGAACACCGGUGGCGAAAGCGGCUCACUGGACCGUGACUGACGCUGAGGUGCGAAAGCUAGGGGAGCAAACGGG
Molecule: ribosomal RNA, 253 nt
Filed under: uncultured bacterium
Lineage: Bacteria
Description: partial 16S ribosomal RNA
Rfam family: Bacterial small subunit ribosomal RNA
Source: RNAcentral